AAGUUGUAACAAGGUUUCUGUAGGUAAACCUACAAAAGGAUUAUUACCUUUCUAGCUAUUUAAUAGCUUGUCUAGAGGCUAUAGUUUCUAUAGUCUCUAACUAUAUCUAUGUUUUUUGCGUACUAUAUGUUUCCUUAGCAGGCUUGCUUGCUAGUUAGACAAACUAAAACUCUUUGCAAUUACAAUUAGCGUCUAAAUUAUAUAAUAAUUACAA
Molecule: unclassified non-coding RNA, 214 nt
Filed under: plant metagenome
Description: partial contains small subunit ribosomal RNA and internal transcribed spacer 1
Source: RNAcentral